Molecule: non-coding RNA, 324 nt
Organism: Parasteatoda tepidariorum (common house spider)
Lineage: Eukaryota; Metazoa; Arthropoda; Arachnida; Araneae; Theridiidae
Source: RefSeq, a predicted model, not a curated record
AAACUUUUUCGCCAAAGCAAUUGGCGGUGUUUAAACAAAAGCUAUUGUAAAGGUGGGUUGACACGAUCAAAGUACUUUGAUCAAAGUAAGCGCGCGCAUUCACCAGUAGGGAAAUAUUUUUAGGGAAAUGUGACGAUUUAGAAGAAGUUGUUUUUGUUUACAGGGAAUAUGUUUAUUUAGAACCUUUUUUUCAAGAAAUCUGGAUGUACUAAUAGGAUUUGAAAACUUCUCUAUAUUAUCGGGUUGACAGAAUUUAUUCUUCGUCUCCUCUUCUGCAAUUUAAAAUAACCUGUAUUAUAUCACAGACGGAAAUAAUUACAAGCU